AAAGAUAAUAAUAAAUAAAUAAAUUCAAAACCCUUAUCUAACAAAGAUCUCUCCACUACAGCCUUCGAUUCCACGAGAUAACUAAUAUAAUCUAACCUAUACACAUAAACAGCAAAAAAUUUUAGUUCAAAUCUACAAAAAAAUAAAAAUAAAAAAAUUGGAAGCUAAAAUUGUCCAUAAUCUACAAUACAAAUAGAAAAGUUUCUUUAUAAAAAAAUAUUAACGUACAUGAAAGUAAACAUGAAAUAUUACCGGUGUCUAAUUUCUAUACUAUUUCAAAGGUAUUUUCUCGUUUCACAGAGAAGUAGAGGUAAAGAAUGAAGGUAAACAAUUAAGAAGAAACACGGCAGACGAAAAAAAUUUUCGUGAGAAAUGAUUUAGAAAAAACAGAUUGGAAUCAAAAUUCACAUUAUACAUUUUACAGACAAUGACAGACUGCAUUUGUUAUAUGAAAAUUGAAAAGACCAUGACACCCUAACUUUAAUAAUCAUUUUGUCAAAAAUACCCUUAACUUAAUGCUUCACAUUAUUUUCAAUCAAUUUUGAUAUUGAGGAUAGAGUGGGAAUUCAUAACAUUUACCAGCACCAUGCCAUAAAAGUCAAAUUUGUAACAAAUAAUUUUCCUACUCACUAACAUUGAGAAAUGAAUGCUGGCCCACAACAAUUGUACAAGGUCUGACGUGGAGACAAUAGAAAAGCAGUAGAAGAAGUAGACUAUGUGGUAUAGAGAAGAAAGCGUGUCCCAUUUUCUUACAUGAAUAAACUAAUAUAGCAAAAUCGGAUAAGUUGGAUGUAGUGUGAAAAGCAAUGUGACAUAAAUGGAUAGUAAUAUUAAAGCCUCUCUUUUAAGAGGUAGUAGAUAGUAGAUAUUGAAUUGAAUAUUGGUGAGUUGAUACUUAUGUUCUUGUAAUUUUUAACUUUUCUUAUUCGCUCUUAUGUGAUUCUUAAAAUGGUUAAUCUUCGAUUGUGAGAUAAAGGCUAAAGCACACAUUGUAGAUGGGGUUGGGGUGUGAGAAGCAUACUAUUUUUUGAAUACUUUUGAUGGGUUUUUGGAAAAGAAAUUGAAAAAGAAUGAAAUUCACUUAAAAUGCCAAGUAUAAAAUGUUGAAGAGAGAAGCGCAAAAGAGGUCGGAACAUUGAACUGUAGGUGCAAUUUAUCGUUAUAACUAUACUGAAGAUAUAGGGAUUAUCUGAUUUUGUAAGUUAGGCAAUAUAGAGUUCAUAAUCUGGAGUCAAGAUGGUAUCCUUUGUCUUCUCCAUUAUCAUAGUUUAAUUGUUUUUUUUUUUUUUUUUAUUGAAGCCUUUUUUAUUCUGUAUCGGGAACUGAUAAAUUAUGUCCAGGCAUAAGACCGUCGAAUCUAUGUGUAAACUAGCUAUUUUGUACUGAUCUUCCGUUACUUCCUUAAUCACAGUAGGAAAUUCUCAUACAUCGCAAAAUUUCUUCAAAAGAAGUAUGUGAUUGAUGUAGAUUUCAUGAUGGUGGUGACUGUAGGGAUAGUAUAUUGGAAAGAACAAUGAUGUCCCUGCUACAAUUGAAGCCAACAUUUUUAUCAUUUAUGUUUAUCAUGAUUAGUCUUGCUAAUUUUUUUCACACACACUAAUGUGAGCUUUCUAUUUGUUUAUCCUCGAUAUUUUCAACUUAAUUGUGGGAGGUGGCUACUCUUAAGAUGUUGGAAUUCAUAAUGGAACUCAGAAAGGUACUCUAUAUUCUGUUUUUCUUUUUGUUGUCAUACAUGUUCUCGAUGAAGAGUAAUUUGGUGAGAAUUACCAAAAAAAAAAAAAAAAAAUUUGAUUUAAGUUCUAAAACUUUUUCUUGAUAGGUUACUACAAUUGGUGUUGUUCGAAGUUUUGUCCUAGUUAAGAUAUUUGAGCAACUCGGAAAAUAAGGUCAACUUCUACUUGAUUUUGAUUUCAAAUGCUCGAUUAAUUUUUAUUUACUGAAUAUAAAUCUUGUAAUGAUGAGCUUUAUGAUACAUAUAACUUCUUUUCUUAAUAAUUCGACCUAACGUCAAGAAAUGUCCCAAAUGAACUUAAUUGGACUCCUUCAAAAUAGUGCAGUAAUCUAUAUGAAAAGUUAUAUUAGGCUACAAGUUUUAUUCACAUUCAGUAAUGUUUCUUAAGAUCAGUUCGAGAUGGAGAGAAUAUACACUCAUUUUAAAAUGAUGGCGAAAAAAAUUCCAUUAUGAAGUAUGUGUUCAUGCAUCAUCUUAUUUUACAUGGGACAAUGUAUGGAUCUCUACCAAGCUAUUUCUUUGGAAAGUUCCUACUUACAAAUUAAUGAAAAAGGAUAUUUAUUUUGCACAAAGAAUGUCUGGAAAAGGUGUUUAUUUUUCUUCUCUGAUUAUGUCUAUGGAACUACAAUGAAUUUUAUCUGAGUAAUAGAGAUGAUGAUGGGGGUGGAUUCGGUCUAUAAUGAAUUUUUCCUACUGGGCAGCCGAAUACAUAUCUGGAAGGACAAAUGUUUAGUGUUUGUACCGUUGGUAGAAGAUUCUUAAUCCAGAAGUUGUGAAAAACCUUUGGACAAAGGAGGUUCUUUAUUCUUUUUUUGUAGAAUCUUUGGUCACUUAGAAAUGAUAGUAAAGAUGCUUUCUAUUAACUUCUUGUCUAUUUAUCAUGUUUGUGGUCAUUGGUAUAUAAACAAGAUGUUAAUCAACUAACGUGCAACACACGUUCACCACACUAGUUAUCAAAAAAUCUACAUCAAAUGGGCAAUAGUAGAGGGACUUGAUGACCGAGUUCAUCUAUUAGUUGAUGUAACAUAUUGAUAAGAUUCCAAACACAUCAGUUUAUAUUUUGCUGAAUUCCUGAAUGAAAAUACAAGUUUGGCAGUUAUUGAGAGACCUGAUAUCCCCACUUUUCUCUCCAAGCUUCUAAAUAUCCCAAGUGAAACUACAUACCCUUCCCAAUUUAUAAAUAGCAUCUACUAGAAAAAGAUUAAUAGAAAGUUUUUAAGAAUUUUUUAGGAGGAAAGUGGGGAUCACGAAAUUUGUGGAUAAUAAUGAAUUCUCUCUCCGUCCCAUUUAUAUAGGCUGAUUUUGUUUUUUACAUUGAUUAGGAAAUCUUAUUUAAUGUUAUUGAUUGAAAAAAGAAAUUUUUGUUAAAAACUUCCACAAUAUACCCUUAUUUAUAUUUUUACAAUUUCAAGAUUCAAUUGGAAAAAUUGUUUACAACUAGGCAAAUUAAAUAAGGUAUAUGACAAUUGAAGUAACUAUUAAUAUAAGGUUCUAUCACGUAUCAAUAAUUGUUGAUGAUAAAUUGAGGAAAUGGCGAUAUAUAAGGUUGAGACAUGCUUUGCGUAGACGCAAAGAGAUUCUUUUUCGUGCGAUUUCAAUAGAACAUUUCAGAAUAUGAAGGGAUAGGGCAAGAAAAGUGUGGCUUGUUGAGGUUGUGAGGCUUUUGGUUUAGUUUGUAUAUUCUUCCAGAAAUCUAACAUGAACACCAAACAAAGCGAUGAAAAAAAUUUAUGUGGUCAAUCCCAAAUUUAUUAUGGUUUAAUCGAUUGUUGCAUUUAAUUUAUAUUAUUGAUGCAACUAAGAUUGGUUUCUAAAAGUCUGCACUUAUGUUUCCCUUCAUUUUCCCAUCCGUAGGAGUUAUGCUAGCUCUGGUCUGUAGGAUUAUCAUCUUUUACCCUAGAUCGAUUUAUAAUGUCUUCUUUUUUUAUGUCUAUCUUGCUAGAAAUUAAAUUCAUACUUCUCUAUUAAAAAAAAAAUGGAAAAGGAAAAAAAAAAAAAAAAACUACUUGAACUAUAACCCGAACCAUAAAAGACUCCAUUUUUAUUCUAACCAUGUUUAGCAACAACUUUUACCAGUCAUGGCGAGCAAACAUCGAUGACAUAGGCGAGUGACGACUUGGAACUGCGUUCGAUCUCUGCAAAAACAUGCCCGAAAAUCGAAACAUUGAAUUCAGUACCGAAACCAAGUCCAACAGCACAAAUGAAAAUUCUUGAUAUAUGCUGAUGCUCUUCCUCAACAUUACGUUCAUCAAUACAGACAAUGCAUCCUCAAAUCUUGACAUUUUAUUGGAUGUUUCUUCUUUUUUGCAUCACAAGACUUUGGGAUCAUCAAUUAGUUGACCAUUAUUAUACUUGUAAUAUUUCGACACUUCCUAUUUUACGACAGUAGAUCUAGGGAAUUUGAUUAGAUCUGCACUUACUGAAAUACCCCUUUGCUUUCUUUGCAGUACACGCAACAACAAUUGAGUACAACAAUUGAGUUCCUUAAACCCUUAAGGCCGUUUUUCAAUACUUCUGCUUUUUUUAGCACAGGGCCUUGUCAUAAGAAAGCUCUUUUGUAAGAAACAAAAACAAAAGUAGAAAUUAUGAAUACUGUAAAAAAUUAUCGAACAAACACAAAAGCAGCUUCUUUGUUUCAUAAAUAGCUUUUUGACUUUUCGAAAAUUUUGCUAAAUCGAUCCUUAGUCAAUAGUUUUAUUUUAUUUUAAUCAUCCCACACAACUAAAGAGUGUUUAUUAACAAGGAUAUAUAUCAAUAAAAUAUAAUUCAAGAUGGAAAUACAAACUUACCAUAAAAAGUAUGUAAACUAAGCUAAAGGACAAGACUAAGAUAACCCCAUAAAUAUAUAUUUCGUGUGCCCGCUCAUACUUCGCCGCCUCGAAGAGAUUUAAGUGUUAAAGACUCCGAUCCUUAGUCAAUAGUUUUAUUUUAUUUUAAUCAUCCCACACAACUAAAGAGUGUUUAUUAACAAGGAUAUAUAUCAAUAAAAUAUAAUUCAAGAUGGAAAUACAAACUUACCAUAAAAAGUAUGUAAACUAAGCUAAAGGACAAGACUAAGAUAACCCCAUAAAUAUAUAUUUCGUGUGCCCGCUCAUACUUCGCCGCCUCGAAGAGAUUUAAGUGUUAAAGACUGAAUUACUCCAGGCUUCAUCGCUAAAAACUUUCUUUAUCUGAACUGUAAUUCGACAUUAGCAGUUGAAUGAGAUGCUGGGGC
RNAcentral lists this long non-coding RNA (4946 nucleotides) under Olea europaea (common olive). RNAcentral describes it as "long non-coding RNA (OEUR_LNC015685)". Lineage: Eukaryota; Viridiplantae; Streptophyta; Magnoliopsida; Lamiales; Oleaceae. The record is from RNAcentral.